GAAGCGUGCCCGAACAAUAAGGGCUAUUUUGAUAAAAUAGUCAUGGAGACAAACCCUCUCGCUUCUC
This 67-nucleotide transfer RNA is filed under the name Calotes liocephalus. RNAcentral describes it as "tRNA-Ile". Lineage: Eukaryota; Metazoa; Chordata; Lepidosauria; Squamata; Agamidae. The record is from RNAcentral.